GACCCGAACGUGUACUUCUCGGCCACGCUUCCCUGCUCCGGCGCGAAGGUGACCGCGUACUCCUGCGUCUGCUGCGCCGCGCUGAACUCCAGCGUCGGAGGCUCCACCGUGACGCGCACGCCGGCCGGGCUGGCGACGCUGGCCGUGUACGUGGCCCUGGCGUUGCUCCCGACGUUUCGUACGACGCGGCGCUGCGUGACCUCGUCGUCGCCGGAGCCGAACACCACCGAGAAGGCCGGGUAGUUGAGGUCGCCCACAGAGCCCGGGCGCGUCGAACAGUCGGUCACCGAGCCGUCACGCGUCAGGACGGCGAUCUGCCUGGCCGUGUAGCCGAGCGCGCAGAGGAAGGAGACGUAGUCGUCAGUGCCGGCGUCGUACACCAGGCCUGGGUUGAGGGCGCGGUUGGGGUCCACGUGGCCGGCCCCGCGCACGAACGGCGUGGACGCCCCGCCGGUGGACAUGUCCCUGAUGACGUCCCCGGCGCUGUCGACGUUGAACGCGGUGGUCAUCAGCGCGGACUUGAUCGCGGCGGGGCUCCAGCCCGGGCGCGCCUGCCGGAGCAUCGCGGCGAUGCCGCUCACGUGAGGGCACGACAUGGACGUGCCGGAUAUGAUGUUGAACUUCACUCGCCUCGUGUCGCUGUCGAGCUCCGAGGGCGAGUUCUCGCCGGUCCACGCGGCCAGGAUGUCCACCCCGGGGGCGGUCACGUCCGGCUUCAGGAUCUCCGGUGCGAGGAGGUUUGGGCCGCGGCUGGAAAAGGAUGCCAUUCUCGGGGAAGACGGCGUCCCGCCGACGACGGUGCCGAGAAACACGAUGGUCGCAACGGGGGACGCGCUGGUUCUGAUGUACCUCUUGAUCUUCUCGGCAACGGCGAACGUCACGGCCGUCGCUGGGUGGAUGUGUGGGGUGGUGAUGGGCUGCUCGCCGAACGCCUUUGCGCUGACGAGGAUCGCUCCAGCUCCUCCGGCAAGCUUUACGGCUUCACCUUUAGCAGCUCGACCGUUAACGCCAGGGUCGCACACCACGAUCUUGCCGGCGACCUUGCUGGCGAUCAGUUUGCCAGCUUCACAGACGCUUGAGCCCACGUCACCUCCGUAGACUAGCGGGAUCUUGCUUGGACCGAGCGGCGUGCCGGCAUAGAGGGAAGUGCCGGCGAAGGUGUCGCCACUGCCGAGAACGACGUUCGCUGAGAACCGGCGGUUGACGGUUGACGCGCCCACCGUCAGGAUCCAUGGCGCGACGUUGACGGCGGUGAACUCGCCGGGGCCGGAGUUGCCCGCGGAGGCAGAGACGACGAUGCCCCUGCGGACGGCGCUGAACGCUCCCACGGCCGUGCUGUCGCUGUAGAACGGGGGCGCCUGGCCGACGGCGCCGAGCGAGACGGAGAGGACGUUGACCCCGUCCUUGAUGGCCUCGUCGAACGCCAUGAGGAUGUCCGAGGACGUGCACCCCCUCGCCCAGCACGCCUUGUAGGCAGCGAUGCGGGCGCGCGGAGCCAUGCCGAUGGCUGUGCCUUUGGCGUAGUCGAAGAAGGCGGCGUUCGGCACGGCGGAGCCCGCUGCCGUGGACGAGGUGUGCGUGCCGUGGCCGUUGGUAUCGAGCGGGGACCUGGAGUCCGUCUCGUCCACCGCGCCCCCGCCGUGCGCGGCCUCGUACCCCAGGCCAAAGAACUUGGCGCCGACGAGCUUGUUGUUGCAGUACGCGGAGGCGUUGAACGCCGGCGUCGAGACGCAGCGGCCGCGGAAUGUGCUGGGCGGCGGCGGCAGCGACGGGUCCGCGGCGAAGGACGCGCGGUCCUUGGGGUACACGCCGGUGUCGAUGACGCCGACCACGACGUCCGUGGCGCCGCCGGACGCCUGGAGCAGCCCCGACGAGUCCGAGAGGCGCAGGAACGACGGCGUCAGCGUGGUGUGCAGCUGCUGCGUCGCGUCGGGCACGACCGCGAGCACGGCGGAGCGCCGCGAGGCGAGGUGCGCGGCCUGGGCCCCCGUCAGCCGCGCCGCGAACCCCGUCGCGGCGUGCGCGUACGAGUAGAGCAGCCUCGGCGCCGGGCGCGCCACGCGCGCGGGGAGGUGCUCGCGCAGGAAGGAGCGGUACGCACCGGAGAGCGCGCGGGGGCGGGUCGCCCGCGGCGCGUGCGCCGGCGCGACAUGCACAAUGUACGUGGACACAGGCUCCUCCGCUUCGGACUCCAUGGGCGCAUAUAGCGAGCCUUGCCAUCGGUGGCGUCUGGGUUUCACGUGCACGUGCACGUGCAGUGGGAGAGAUGGAUGUGUUGUGGGAG
Molecule: unclassified non-coding RNA, 2284 nt
Filed under: Zea mays
Lineage: Eukaryota; Viridiplantae; Streptophyta; Magnoliopsida; Poales; Poaceae
Description: misc RNA Zm00001eb193110
Source: RNAcentral